GGCCAACAACCAUAUUGUAACGUAUGUCGGAGGUCUCAUUAUGCCGUUGUUAUCGUGGAGAGUAUGAUGGACAUCGAUCGCCCAUCGUUGAAUUUUUUUUAUCUAGUAAAAAUGGUUUCAAUCUUCAAAUUUGACAGUGAAUUUUGGUAAAAAAAAAAAGAACUCUGCAGGCUUCCAGUACCCACCUUUCUCUCAUAAUAACUGAGGGUCUGAGGAACAAAAAUGGAUUCAACGUGAUUAAAUGUCAUGAUGGAAUUGUGGUACGAUGGUACGAAGCACACGAAUAAUAUGUAUACCAGAGGUAUUGGUUAGUAAGAUUAUAACAGUAUACAGUCAGUAUUAUUACCUUUGACCAGAAUAUUUUAGAAUUAAUAUUUACUGAAAUUUAUCCAAUUAAUAUCCACAGAUGUAUUAAUGCAAUAGUGCUGCAUUAAUACAUAUUACUUAUAUAUGAGUAUAUUUUAAUACACAGUAAGUCUUAUUUUAUAUACAACGAUAAAUCAAUAUUUUUGAUAAUUAUUAUGAUACUGCAGGAAUGGGACGAUAGUGAAAUGAACAAAAUAAAUAACUAACCAAUAUUACACUCAAAGUAAGACCAAACCAUUAUUCAAUUUAUUACCUAGUUGAAAUACAAUAGGUAAGUUAUUAUUUAUAAUAACGUAUCACAUAUACAUUAACGCCAACUAUAGGCGCAACUAGAGUCAAAAUGAUUGGGGUUUUAUAAAGGGCUCAACAAAACAUGAACGCAAGCUUAAUUCCCCACAUCUCUGUAAACGUUUAUUUUUUUAAGAAUACAACUAAUGACUUUAACACAAAAUAAUAAUAAUGUAAAAACCGCUCC
Rhopalosiphum padi (bird cherry-oat aphid) is the source of this 841-nucleotide long non-coding RNA. RefSeq lists it as uncharacterized. Lineage: Eukaryota; Metazoa; Arthropoda; Insecta; Hemiptera; Aphididae. The record is from RefSeq and is a predicted model, not a curated record. The transcript is spliced from 3 exons.